UGGGGAAUAUUGCGCAAUGGGGGGAACCCUGACGCAGCAACGCCGCGUGCAGGAAGAAGGCCUUCGGGUUGUAAACUGUUGUCGCAGGGGAAGAAGACAGUGACGGUACCCUGUGAGAAAGUCACGGCGAACUACGUGCCAGCAGCCGCGGUAAUACGUAGGUGACAAGCGUUGUCCGGAUUUACUGGGUGUAAAGGGCGCGUAGGCGGGAUAGCAAGUCAGUCGUGAAAUGCCGAGGCUUAACCUCGGAGCUGCGAUUGAAACUGUUAUUCUUGAGUAUCGGAGAGGAAAGCGGAAUUCCUAGUGUAGCGGUGAAAUGCGUAGAUAUUAGGAGGAACACCAGUGGCGAAGGCGGCUUUCUGGUCUGCAACUGACGCUGAGGCUCGAAAGCAUGGGUAGCGAACAGG
RNAcentral lists this ribosomal RNA (407 nucleotides) under uncultured bacterium. RNAcentral describes it as "bacterial SSU rRNA". It matches the Rfam family "Bacterial small subunit ribosomal RNA", at positions 355 to 776 of the family's 1533-position model. The record is from RNAcentral.